GGGCGGGAAGCGGGGCGGUGUGCCCACACAGACGGGCCCCUCAGCGGCCCUGGCAGCGUGCGUUGUCCGGCUAGCUCUUCGAGGCCCUGGAAGGGACACCUGGGCCCGGUGUCGUGCGGUGCCUCCACGCGGUGCCACAGAGACGCACCGGCAGUCGGUGGGCGCCUGUGUGGCAGCUGUCCAAGGACCAGCAAUUCGUCAUGAUUCGUACAAAUGCGUUGCAAGCAGAGCGCGCCCAGAGGCAGGUAGGAAAGGCCUGUACAUUUGGCAGAGAACACAAUUAGCAAUAUGAGCUUGUGUCCGCUCUUCCACGUCAGCAUGCCCACGUGGUGCUGUGGUAUGUGCUGUGCUGUUCCUCAUGUGGGUGCUUUGCUCAGGGCAGAGAUGAGUAAGAAGCUGUACCCCUUGGCAGUGACAUGGGUUUUCACAGCCUGACCUUGUUACUUAAACCAGGAGAUAGCAGCGAUGCCAACGUGAUGUCAUAUAGUGUGUUUGCACAUGCCUGUCAAAAACACAGUUACACGCUGCUGUUACCCCACUCUGUAAAUCUGUGCAUGCAUGCAAAUACACAUACACACACACAUAUAUAUAAACAGAAAUUAGUUGAGAGUUUAAAAGAAAGCCCUUCUUCUCAAGGAUAAUUUUAGCAUAGCAGAGCUAGAUAAUUGGUAUGGGGGGAGUGUGGUUUAGAAGAGUCUGACUCAGCUUCAUGUUGUAAAUCUAGUCUUACCACUGCCUUUCUGUGUGAUUCUGAAUGUUCUCAGCUUCUCUUAACCAUAGGCCUUUUGCUUAAAAUGAAAAUUAAUAACUCUUCAGUCCCACACUGAGGGUGGAGAGGGGGAGCUCACACCAAAUAAUGCUUCUAGAGGUAGUAAGGGUGAGUAUCUCUGGGGAAGGGAUACUCACUAAGGGUGAGUAUCUCUGGGAAUACAGUAUUAUUAUCAUUGUAUUGUCAAUAUGCCGUCAGGAAAUAUGGUUCAGUAUUGCAGUGAUCUUCUAAGGGGAUCUUCUCUGUUGCUGUUUCUAUGUUUUACUGCUCUAGUUAUCAUGGAGUGGGUUAUUUGAAUCUGUCAGUGGUAAUAAGUACUAAAUUAGUUAAAAGCCUCAUCAGGUAGAACAAUGAAGUCCUCACAAAAUGUAGCACAAGGAAAACAUAAUUUAUGUGUGCUGAAGUACAACAUACCUUGAAAAUACCACAUCUGUCUAUGCAGGUAAGUUUGGGUUCUGGAGACGUCGGAGAGGAGUGUCAGUAUUAAACAUCUGGUGCUUGUUAGUACUUCGAUCAGCACCUGCGAGUUUGGCCAGAAAAGCAACUGAAGUUGAGAGACAAAAUAAGGGUCAGCUGCUUUGGAAUAUGUAUUCUACUUGGGCAGGUUGGACUCAGCAGCCUUCAUGAAAGGUUUUGUGGCAGCACAUCACUUGGACAGAAUGUGAAGAAGAUAAAAGUAGGAUUUUUGGCUACAGGGAUCAUCAAAUAUCAGAGUACUACAAUCUGAGAUUUAUCAGAUUUAUCCAAGCCCUGAAUCCUCUUUACUUUUGCUAAAAUCCUUUCAAAAAGUUACAGUAUUCACGAACAUGAAAAAUGAAGGCAGGCAAAGUACAGAAGCUGUGGUUUCUUAUUAGAGGAGAAGUAGAACAAAAAACAUUCAGAACACUACAGUGGAAGACAUGUCGUGAUUAAUAAAGAGUCAGGCUUCAGUCAUGGGGAGAACUGGCAUCCAGCCCAGUUUAACCUAAAUGUUAGAUUUAUUUUAUUUUUUUUUUAAACUUGAUCCUGGAUUUCAUUCUGUCAUCUUAUAUUCUUUUACAGUCAGUAGCACUAUGCGUAUGCAUAUUUAUUAUAUUUAGACAUAUUUUGCAAGUCACCUUCACAACAACUUCUUUCCUUUUCCUGGAAAAACUGGUUGGUUAUGUAGAGACUGAAUUUGCAAGUCUAAUCUUUGGAGUUUAUUAACCCUUAUUAGUCUGGUUGCUCAAUAGUUAGGUAAGUUCUCAGGCUUAUUUGCAACUUAAUUUCCUUUUAGUUUGAAGUCUGCGCUUCUGUCUAGAUUUUAUGAUUUAGAUUCCUUCACAUAUGAAAAAGACCUGCAUAUUCAGCAUUCUGGAGGAGAAAGAGUAGUUCUGUUGGAAAGAGCAAGAAUUAACUGUCAGUGCUUUUUCCAUUCAGGAAGCCACAGGCAUGAAAAGAGAAACGGGUUUUAUACCUGCAUCUGCAUUCCUUAGGCUCACAGUGAAGCUAGAGCAGGCAGGGCAGACUAAGAUGCAGCUCUGAACCUGAACUGGAAGCACUCUGUCUAUUUGCUUGUGGUAUUUCCAGACCUGUUGAAGACCUAGAAAGCCCAGCCACUGAAAUGCACACGGCUGCAUACUGAGGCAGAGUUUGGUGCACUGGGAGACAAGUUGCUGGAAUAAACACGGCUAUGUUUUUUCCAUCACGCUGUGUUUCAGUUUACGGGGUCACUCAGCCACACACCUUGUCUGUGCAAAGAUACAAAGGUUAAUGUGUGUCUUUGGGGAAUGGCUAAGACUAUAGAUCUACUGUUGAACUUUGUCUUGGAUAAGGUCCUCCAAUGUUUAAAUCAAAUAAAGCUCUGGCUAUAUGUAUUACAGGAUCUGUUAUUGAACUUUAUCUUGGAUAGGGUUCUCCAAUACUUAAAUAAAUGUGUGGUUAGACCUAU
This is a long non-coding RNA of Gallus gallus (chicken), 2678 nucleotides long. RefSeq lists it as uncharacterized. Lineage: Eukaryota; Metazoa; Chordata; Aves; Galliformes; Phasianidae. The transcript is spliced from 2 exons. The record is from RefSeq and is a predicted model, not a curated record.